UUGUCUGAUUAUAAUUUGCUUUCAUGUGUUAUGUGUGCGAAUUUUAAAAGACAUAACAUAUUACUCGAACAUUUUAAUUAAAGGACAAUCGAAACAAAACAAACAUAACGUGAGUAUGUAAACAUGUAACACAACCAGCAGUUCAUAUGGGUUCCUUGCACUGUACUACACAUGUUCUCCAGCACCCUGCCAAAAAAUAUAAAAGAAAAUUAUUCAUAUAUGAAACCCUUGACUUAAACAUAGAAUAUAAGUACAUUGCAAUUGUUGUUGUUUAAGUCAGCGAUAUCAUAUCAAGCUGAUAUUGUUUUUCUUUAAUGGCAAAUAGUGUUUGUUAUGCUAUUAUAACAUUUCUAAACUAUUCUAAACUAAAGUUCUUUGCAUUGUCAUUGAUGGAUACAUAGACUAACUUCAAUUUAAUUAUCUGAUAUGUCCAGAAAUGGUAAAGUGAUUUAUUUACUAAUGACGUCGAUGGGUAUAGACCAAUAACGGGAGGGAUUGUGCUUGAUAUUCAUAUGAUGAAGACAUAAUCUUUCAAUUAUUCAACCAGUCUGGAGCUGGCAUUUCAGUAACUGCUAGUAGUCCUUUUUUUUUUAUUAAUGCAUUAUUUUCAUUUUGCUUAGUUUCUUUUGUUACCUAUUAUGACAUCGCUGGACUUGGACUUGGACUUCUUUUAAACUGCGUGUGCGUAUUGCUGUGUGUUUAUUUUUUGUACAUUGGCUAGACGUAUUAGGUUGGGGGGGGGGGGGGGUAGGGUAGAUUUCAAGAAAAACAAGUUUAACCUCGCCGCAUUUUUGCGCCUGUCCCAAGUAAUGAGCCUCUGGCAUUUGUUAGUCUUGUAUGAUUUUUAAUUUUAGUUCACUUAUAUAUUUCCGAGUUUAGUAUGACAUCAAUUAUCACUGACUAAUACAUAUCUUUGUUAAGGGGCCAGCUGAGGCAGGCCUUCGGUCGGGUUGUUUUCUCCAUGACACAUUCCCCAUUUCCAUUUUCAAUUUCAUAACUUAUGUUUAAUUAUCUAACUUGUCCAGGAAUUCUGUGAUUUUAUAUAAUAAUGUUGUUGAAAGAUAUAUAGACUAAAUGAUUAAUUAUCGCUUCCUGGUCAAGGAAUUGUAACUUACCUUAUUAUCUACCUGGUCUAGGAAUUGUGGUGGUAGUUGUAUGUGCAGGGGUCGUCGUGUGACUUUUGCAUCGUCCUUCUACAUCUGAAUCAAAAAUAUUAACCUUGUAUAAACAAGCAUGUGUAAGACAUAUGGAUGGUCUGUCCUUUUUGAAAUAUAAAAGUGGUAUUUUGAUUUUUUGGUGUGUUGAAACUAUUUAAAUAAUAGCACAAACUAUUCACUUUGAACACCAAUUUAUCCUUAAAAUAUAUUUAUCAAAGUACUGAGAACUCUGACACAGCGGUAACGAUCAAAUGGACCAGUCAGAUGUAUAUGUUCAUUUCUAUCUUUACCGAAUUUUAACCUUGAAAAUUAGGUCAAGG
Molecule: long non-coding RNA, 1477 nt
Filed under: Mytilus galloprovincialis (Mediterranean mussel)
Lineage: Eukaryota; Metazoa; Mollusca; Bivalvia; Mytilida; Mytilidae
Source: RNAcentral